This 492-nucleotide ribosomal RNA is filed under the name uncultured bacterium. RNAcentral describes it as "partial 16S ribosomal RNA". It matches the Rfam family "Bacterial small subunit ribosomal RNA", at positions 29 to 507 of the family's 1533-position model. The record is from RNAcentral.
AGUGAACGCUGGCGGUAGGCCUAACACAUGCAAGUCGAACGGCAGCACAGUAAGAGCUUGCUCUUACGGGUGGCGAGUGGCGGACGGGUGAGGAAUACAUCGGAAUCUACUUUUUCGUGGGGGAUAACGUAGGGAAACUUACGCUAAUACCGCAUACGACCUACGGGUGAAAGCAGGGGAUCUUCGGACCUUGCGCGAUUGAAUGAGCCGAUGUCGGAUUAGCCAGUUGGCGGGGGAAAGGCCCACCAAGGCGACGAUCCGUAGAUGGUCUGAGAGGAUGAUCAGCCACACUGGAACUGAGACACGGUCCAGACUCCUACGGGAGGCAGCAGUGGGGAAUAUUGGACAAUGGGGGCAAGCCUGAUCCAGCCAUACCGCGUGGGUGAAGAAGGCCUUCGGGUUGUAAAGCCCUUUUGUUGGGAAAGAAAAGCAGCAGGUUAAUACCCCGCUGUUCUGACGGUACCCAAAGAAUAAGCACCGGCUAACUUCGUG